Molecule: ribosomal RNA, 546 nt
Filed under: uncultured Glomus
Lineage: Eukaryota; Fungi; Glomeromycota; Glomeromycetes; Glomerales; Glomeraceae
Description: SSU rRNA
Rfam family: Eukaryotic small subunit ribosomal RNA
Source: RNAcentral
UUGGAGGGCAAGUCUGGUGCCAGCAGCCGCGGUAAUUCCAGCUCCAAUAGCGUAUAUUAAAGUUGUUGCAGUUAAAAAGCUCGUAGUUGAAUUUCGGGAUUAGUACGUUGGUCGUGCCUUCGGUACGUACUGGUGUUACUGAUUCCUACCUUCUGACGAACCAUCAUGUCAUUAAUUUGGUGUGGUGGGGAAUCAGGACUGUUACUUUGAAAAAAUUAGAGUGUUUAAAGCAGGCUCGCGCUUGAAUACAUUAGCAUGGAAUAAUGAAAUAGGACGUUGACCCUAUUUUGUUGGUUUCUAGGAUUGACGUAAUGAUUAAUAGGGAUAGUUGGGGGCAUUAGUAUUCAAUUGUCAGAGGUGAAAUUCUUGGAUUUAUUGAAGACUAACUACUGCGAAAGCAUUUGCCAAGGAUGUUUUCAUUAAUCAAGAACGAAAGUUAGGGGAUCGAAGACGAUCAGAUACCGUCGUAGUCUUAACCAUAGACUAUGCCGACUAGGGAUCGGAUGAUGUUAUUUUUAAUGACUCAUUCGGCGCCUUACGGGAAAC